RNAcentral lists this ribosomal RNA (870 nucleotides) under Ombrophila sp. DH-2018. RNAcentral's name for it is "partial large subunit ribosomal RNA". It matches the Rfam family "Eukaryotic large subunit ribosomal RNA", at positions 66 to 953 of the family's 3401-position model. The record is from RNAcentral. Lineage: Eukaryota; Fungi; Ascomycota; Leotiomycetes; Helotiales; Gelatinodiscaceae.
CAACAGGGAUUGCCUCAGUAACGGCGAGUGAAGCGGCAACAGCUCAAAUUUGAAAUCUGGCUCCUUCGGGGUCCGAGUUGUAAUUUGUAGAAGAUGCUUUGGGUGCGGCCCCGGUCUAAGUUCCUUGGAACAGGACGUCAUAGAGGGUGAGAAUCCCGUAUGUGACUAGGUGCCCGCGCCCGUGUAAAGCUCUUUCGACGAGUCGAGUUGUUUGGGAAUGCAGCUCAAAAUGGGUGGUAUAUUUCAUCUAAAGCUAAAUAUUGGCCAGAGACCGAUAGCGCACAAGUAGAGUGAUCGAAAGAUGAAAAGCACUUUGGAAAGAGAGUUAAACAGUACGUGAAAUUGUUGAAAGGGAAGCGCUUGCAAUCAGACUUGCGCGCCGUUGAUCAUCCCGGGUUCUCUCGGGUGCACUCUGCGGCGCUCAGGCCAGCAUCGGUUCGGGUGGUGGGAUAAAGGCCUUGGGAAUGUGGCUCCUCUCGGGGAGUGUUAUAGCCCUCGGUGCAAUGCCGCCUACCUGGACCGAGGACCGCGCUUCGGCUAGGAUGCUGGCGUAAUGGUUGUAAGCGACCCGUCUUGAAACACGGACCAAGGAGUCUAACAUCUAUGCGAGUGUUUGGGUGUUAAACCCAUACGCGGAAUGAAAGUGAACGUUGGUAAGAACCCGUUAGGGUGCAUUAUCGACCGAUCCUGAUGUCUUCGGACGGAUUUGAGUAUGAGCAUAGCUGUUGGGACCCGAAAGAUGGUGAACUAUGCCUGAAUAGGGUGAAGCCAGAGGAAACUCUGGUGGAGGCUCGCAGCGGUUCUGACGUGCAAAUCGAUCGUCAAAUUUGGGUAUAGGGGCGAAAGACUAAUCGAACCAUCUAGUAGCUG